UUUCCGUAGGUGAACCUGCGGAAGGAUCAUUAUUGUAUAACCGAGGUGCGAGGGCUGUCGCUGACCCGAAAGGUCGUGCACGCCCGAGUGCCCUCACACACAUCCAUCUCACCCCUACGUGCACCACCGCGUGGGUCCCCCUUUGGCUUGUUCGGAGGGGGGCUUACGUUUUCACACAGACCCCCUUUUAAAAGUGUAGAAUGACCACAUUUAUGCAAUCAAUACAACUUUCAACAACGGAUCUCUUGGCUCUC
This 254-nucleotide unclassified non-coding RNA is filed under the name plant metagenome. RNAcentral's name for it is "partial contains small subunit ribosomal RNA, internal transcribed spacer 1, and 5.8S ribosomal RNA". The record is from RNAcentral.